UUGCAUUUGAUCACAAAAAAUGUAACAUUCUUCCUCAAGUUUUUAAAGAUAUGAGUAAGGAGAAAACUAUGAUGAUUCCCAAAUCCAACUAAUCAUCAGCAUUACUUAGAGUUCUUCUAAAAAAUUCUGUCUCCCCGACAUUGCCCCUGGAGGUUCUGAUUCAGCAAGUCUGAAGAGAAGCCCAGGAUCAGCUAGUUUGGGAAGCAUUCUCUGGCCUGUAUCAUGUUGACUGCUUAACAGGUCUUAUAUCUUUAUCUGAAUUUCUUUAUGGUGUCUUAAACCAAGCUGUUUGUGAGUUCAGAUCUGUGUGUGUUGUCAGCAUGAAUGAUAACUGAGGUUUCAAAGUAAGAACAUGAUUAUGACAUCAUGGAACUUGUUCUUGACCUCAGGUGGUGUGAAAUAAUGGAAGUUCAUCCAGUUCAUCCAGUAAAUAUUUACUGAGCCCUUACUCUGUGUCAGACACAGUUCUAUGUGCCAGUGAUGUAGAGUGAAUACAGUAGGAAAACAUUCCUGUUCUCAUGCAGCUGACAUUGUAGUAGAGGGAGACAGGACAAAAGUAAAUACAUACAAUGUACGGAAAGAAGGCUAUGAAAAAAGUUAAGGGAGAUGCUAUAACGAAGUGGCCACGAACAUUCAUAUGCAAGUUUUUGCGUGGACCUGCACUUUUAUUUCUCUUGGCACUCAGGACUCAGAGUGACACGGGAGGUGUCUCUGAAGCAUUAGGAUGGCUUGUUGGGGGCCCUGGUGCUCUCACCACAUGCACUGCAGAUGCUUAAUUGGCUCAGCUGGAACAAAACAAGGUGUGAAAGGAAACACGAAAGAUCUUUCUUCCUCAUCCCAAGAAGCAGCACCUACCACCAUUCUCAACAAGAAAUAUCUAUGUUAUGGUCACCGACAAGAGUUUACCACCUCGCAACGUCGUGUUGUUACUGAAUUGUUUAUUGUCAGUCUCCCCAGUGUGCACGUUGGCUCCAAGACUGAGACUUCCUCUCUCUUUUCGUCUCUCUAUCUUGGGAAUCUAGAAGGGUGCCUAGCACAUUUGUUGAAUGAAUGAAUAAAGGAAUGAGUUUUUCAAAUGUCGAUUAUGUAAUAUCUCAUUUUUCUCCUCUUUUGAAUAAGGGAAAUAACAUCUCUCUUACAAGAAUAUUGUGAAGAUUAGGUGAUAAAAGAUAGGAAUAUUCCCAACCUCAUUAUUAGAAAAAUAUUGGUUCCAUUUUCUCUCCUCUAAAGAGUGGUUCUCCA
This 1242-nucleotide long non-coding RNA is filed under the name Equus caballus (horse). Its description in RNAcentral is "lncRNA (ENSECAG00000031288.3)". Lineage: Eukaryota; Metazoa; Chordata; Mammalia; Perissodactyla; Equidae. The record is from RNAcentral.